This 342-nucleotide ribosomal RNA is filed under the name Triticum aestivum (bread wheat). Its description in RNAcentral is "partial small subunit ribosomal RNA". The record is from RNAcentral. Lineage: Eukaryota; Viridiplantae; Streptophyta; Magnoliopsida; Poales; Poaceae.
AUGUUAUUGAGAAUCAUCAGUCAACUGUGGAUUAUUCUCUUCCUUGGAUAUCUCACAUUAAGAAUGAAGAUUUCAAGUAUCUCGCAAUGGUUGAUAGGAAUUACGAGUCUAGUAAAAAUUUCGGGGUUUUACCACUAUGAGACAUAUCAUGCACCCACUAUGCCAAUGUGGUGCCUGUUAACAAUGCACCUGAUGUUGCUGCUAUGUUUCAUUCAGUUCCUUAUGUGGAGGUCAACAAUGCCAAUAGUGUUCCUGAAGCUCUCAAUGAGGACACGUCAAUUGAUUCAAAAAGUCCACAUAUCAUUUCAGAAGGUCCCAGUGCAAAAGUUGAACCCGAUGUAA